Danaus plexippus (monarch butterfly) is the source of this 611-nucleotide long non-coding RNA. RefSeq lists it as uncharacterized. The transcript has 3 exons. NCBI's taxonomy places the organism in Eukaryota, Metazoa, Arthropoda, Insecta, Lepidoptera, Nymphalidae. The record is from RefSeq and is a predicted model, not a curated record.
UUGUAUUGUUGGUGUGGAAAUGGAAAAAUCGAUGUGCGAGAAUGUAUUGAAUAAAACAAUUUCACGGACAAUAAAAUUCUCGCGUUCGAAAAACUUCCAAAGGAGAACAGAAUCAAACUGUUGGCGUCCAUGGCGAAUGUUAUUAAUUGUUAUUUUUUUGUGUACUUUUUAUCGAUUUUUCGAUUUUAUGAUAUAUGAUUCUUCGAAUAACAUCUUACGAUAUGUGCAAUUUAGGGCUAUUUGGGAGAAGCAGUUAAUUGGAUUGAAUGUUGUUGAUAAGGGCAUUUAAUUCGUGCGUUUCGGUGACAUGGGAUACAUCGAUUUUUGGUCCCGCCAGCCCAUUGGUCGGCUUGCGAUUGCCAUUUUAUUUAUGUCUAUAUACACGAUUCGAUGUAGGAUGUUAAGCUUUAUAUACACGACCGGCUUCACCAACCCGGUACCGAGGCUCGCCAGGCGGCAUGUCAAACAGCAGGAGACCGUUGGUUAAAUUGAAAAACAACCUCCCACCAUUUUCGCUAGCGAACGUAAUAAAUCUAUGUACAAAAAUUCUACACGUUAUUUAUGAAAUCUAUCAAAGGUACCUUAUCUAUUAAAGUACAUCGUCGGUAACA